UUGGAGGGCAAGUCUGGUGCCAGCAGCCGCGGUAAUUCCAGCUCCAAUAGCAUAUAUUAAAGUUGUUGCAGUUAAAAAGCUCGUAGUUGAAUUUCGGGAUCAGUACGCUGGUCGUGCCUUCGGUAUGCACUGGUGUCACUGAUUCCUCCCUUCUGAAGAACCGUAAUGCCAUUCAGUUGGUGUUGCGGGGAAUCAGGACUGUUACUUUGAAAAAAUUAGAGUGUUUAAAGCAGGCUUGCGCUUGAAUACAUUAGCAUGGAAUAAUGAAAUAGGACGUUUGAUCCUAUUUUGUUGGUUUCUAGGAUUGACGUAAUGAUUAAUAGGGAUAGUUGGGGGCAUUAGUAUUCAAUUGUCAGAGGUGAAAUUCUUGGAUUUAUUGAAGACUAACUACUGCGAAAGCAUUUGCCAAGGAUGUUUUCAUUAAUCAAGAACGAAAGUUAGGGGAUCGAAGACGAUCAGAUACCGUCGUAGUCUUAACCAUAAACUAUGCCGACUAGGGAUCGGAUGAUGUUAAUUUUUUAAUGACUCAUUCGGCGCCUUACGG
RNAcentral lists this ribosomal RNA (544 nucleotides) under uncultured Glomus. RNAcentral's name for it is "SSU rRNA". It matches the Rfam family "Eukaryotic small subunit ribosomal RNA", at positions 548 to 1093 of the family's 1831-position model. The record is from RNAcentral. Lineage: Eukaryota; Fungi; Glomeromycota; Glomeromycetes; Glomerales; Glomeraceae.